AUUGAACGCUGGCGGCAUGCCUUACACAUGCAAGUCGAACGGCAACACGGGAGCAAUCCUGGUGGCGAGUGGCGAACGGGUGAGUAAUAUAUCGGAACGUGCCCGGUCGUGGGGGAUAACGUAGCGAAAGCUACGCUAAUACCGCAUACGAUCUACGGAUGAAAGCGGGGAUCGCAAGACCUCGCGCGAUUGGAGCGGCCGAUAUCAGAUUAGGUAGUUGGUGAGGUAAAGGCUCACCAAGCCGACGAUCUGUAGCUGGUCUGAGAGGACGACCAGCCACACUGGGACUGAGACACGGCCCAGACUCCUACGGGAGGCAGCAGUGGGGGAAUUUUGGACAAUGGGCGGCAAGCCUGAUCCAGCAAUGCCGCGUGCAGGAUGAAGGCC
RNAcentral lists this ribosomal RNA (387 nucleotides) under uncultured bacterium. RNAcentral describes it as "bacterial SSU rRNA". It matches the Rfam family "Bacterial small subunit ribosomal RNA", at positions 29 to 416 of the family's 1533-position model. The record is from RNAcentral.